GCAGUUUUUCAUGCAAUCUGCAAAUCUUUGGAGAAAACAAACUUUGCAUUACUGUAGUUGUCACUGCAUGUUAAAAAAUUUUGCCCCAGUUAAGUAUGGAAUUCUGGUUUGCGUAACAGUGUUACAUCACAAUGCUGUAAAUAGUUACGUGAAUGCUGUCUCAUAGCAUGCAUUAGCUUCAGUGUAAGCUUCACUGCCUCAUAACAGCAUCCAACAGCAAGGGGAGCUCUAAGACAACCUGGAGUAAACUGAGAAACUUCUGAAAGAAAAUUACAAAUACUAAACAUUAGAACGACGUUGGGAACAGUUUUCCAAAUAGAACACAGUGAGCUCCUCACCCACCACGGGAGAGUUUAGUGGUCUCUCAACUGAGUGAAUGUAUGACACUGGAAUGCCUCAUUAUAAAUGGGCACUGAAUGACAGCUUAUGUGCUUGGAAGGAGAUGGACUCUUGUUUUCGUGUGUGCAUGCUGUUGCAUCUGGUGCCUUAAGGAAGAGAGAGACAGAACCCUGCAGAAAAAUCCAUCUUUAACUGCAUAUUCUUGUGAUCCAUUAGUAAUAAACUUGUUCUAUUCAGUAAUUUUAAUGCAUGCAAUCAAUGUUCGAACUAUUUUUUCUUUAAUUGUGACAUAUCUCAUGUGGAUGCCAAAGGAUAUACUGUUGUCUGAAUGCAGGCCAAGGUUCAGAGCAAUGUUUUGUUUUGUCACUGUGCAUUAAGGACUUGGUUCAUUAGUGAACAAAAGAUAUUUCAAUAUAAUUAUUUGCAAGUGCUUUAACCAUAGUAAACACAUUUAGUGAUUUUAUAGCAGUCUACAAAAAACACAAGGUAAGCAUCGUGUUGAAAAAAUCCUCCUUUUAAAAGUUGAGUAACAAAGGCACUUUGUUUCAUGCAUCAUUCUGUAUGGUUUCUAAAUCAUGUUGUUCCUGGUGCUGCUUCAUCUGUAGCAGUAGGUUGUUAAAC
Molecule: long non-coding RNA, 960 nt
Organism: Numida meleagris (helmeted guineafowl)
Lineage: Eukaryota; Metazoa; Chordata; Aves; Galliformes; Numididae
Exons: 4
Source: RefSeq, a predicted model, not a curated record